Molecule: ribosomal RNA, 440 nt
Filed under: uncultured bacterium
Lineage: Bacteria
Description: bacterial SSU rRNA
Rfam family: Bacterial small subunit ribosomal RNA
Source: RNAcentral
AACGCGAAGAACCUUACCUACCCUUGACAUCCAUGGAAUUUUGCAGAGAUGCGAAAGUGCCGAAAGGAACCAUGAGACAGGUGCUGCAUGGCUGUCGUCAGCUCGUGUUGUGAGAUGUUGGGUUAAGUCCCGUAACGAGCGCAACCCCUGUUCACAGUUGCCAGCGCGUAAAGGCGGGGACUCUGUGGAGACUGCCGGUGAUGAACCGGAGGAAGGCGGGGACGACGUCAAGUCAUCAUGGCCUUUAUGGGUAGGGCUACACACGUGCUACAAUGGGGCGUACAGAGGGUAGCCAACCCGCGAGGGGGAGCCAAUCCCAGAAAGCGUCUCUUAGUCCGGACUGGAGUCUGCAACUCGACUCCACGAAGUCGGAAUCGCUAGUAAUCGCGAAUCAGAAUGUCGCGGUGAAUACGUUCCCGGGCCUUGUACACACCGCACGA